CGACCUCUGCGGUGUUCGUGGAAGACGUACACUUUUGACGAACCGAUGUUUCACCCGCAGGGAGCCAACAAUUCUUCCGGUGCUUGCAUGCCCACCUUUGUAGUGGGAUCCAAAACCCGGGGAUGAGGCGCCCUCAUUAAACUGCGGGUUCUCAAAAGCGUCUAAACGGCACAGGCGGAGGUUUU
Molecule: non-coding RNA, 185 nt
Filed under: Planctomycetota bacterium
Lineage: Bacteria; Pseudomonadati; Planctomycetota
Description: Planctomycetes bacterium 6S RNA
Rfam family: 6S / SsrS RNA
About the family: E. coli 6S RNA was the first non coding RNA to be sequenced, but its function was unknown until recently. It consists of 184 nucleotides that fold into an extended hairpin structure with a large single-stranded internal bulge.
Source: RNAcentral